CUCGGGGGAGAGGGGGUCCCUCAGCCUGGAUUGUGAGAGGGUGCAGAACAGGCCGAGGGACCCCACAGGUGCACA
Molecule: microRNA precursor, 75 nt
Filed under: Myotis brandtii (Brandt's bat)
Lineage: Eukaryota; Metazoa; Chordata; Mammalia; Chiroptera; Vespertilionidae
Description: mir-9193 microRNA precursor family
Rfam family: mir-9193 microRNA precursor family
Source: Rfam by way of RNAcentral